UACGAAGGGGGCUGGCGUUGUUCGGAAUUACUGGGCGUAAAGCGCGCGCAGGCGGCUUUCCAAGUCAGUGGUGAAAUCCUGGAGCUCAACUCCAGAACUGCCUUCGAUACUGGGAAGCUCGAGUCCGGGAGAGGUGAGUGGAACUGCGAGUGUAGAGGUGAAAUUCGUAGAUAUUCGCAAGAACACCAGUGGCGAAGGCGGCUCACUGGCCCGGUACUGACGCUGAGGUGCGAAAGCGUGGGGAGCAAACAGG
Molecule: ribosomal RNA, 253 nt
Filed under: uncultured bacterium
Lineage: Bacteria
Description: partial 16S ribosomal RNA
Rfam family: Bacterial small subunit ribosomal RNA
Source: RNAcentral